GAUCUGGCUCAGGAUGAACGCUGGCGGCGUGCUUAACACAUGCAAGUCGAACGAAGCACUUUAUUUGAUUUCCUUCGGGACUGAUUAUUUUGUGACUGAGUGGCGGACGGGUGAGUAACGCGUGGGUAACCUGCCUUGUACAGGGGGAUAACAGUUGGAAACGGCUGCUAAUACCGCAUAAGCGCACGGCAUCGCAUGAUGCAGUGUGAAAAACUCCGGUGGUAUAAGAUGGACCCGCG
RNAcentral lists this ribosomal RNA (239 nucleotides) under uncultured bacterium. RNAcentral's name for it is "partial 16S ribosomal RNA". It matches the Rfam family "Bacterial small subunit ribosomal RNA", at positions 15 to 235 of the family's 1533-position model. The record is from RNAcentral.